Acipenser ruthenus (sterlet) is the source of this 5521-nucleotide RNA transcript. It is a transcript of the gene named zinc finger protein 446-like, with no coding region annotated. The transcript has 2 exons. The record is from RefSeq and is a predicted model, not a curated record. NCBI's taxonomy places the organism in Eukaryota, Metazoa, Chordata, Actinopteri, Acipenseriformes, Acipenseridae.
AAUACAAUGAGUUCUGGUGAUAAAUCUUCCUCCCGACCUGUGAGGGCGCUAAAGAACGGGAGGAGAAGUAUCUGGAAGGGCUGGCCUGACAGUUCGUUUCCGGGACCGGAAAGUGGGUCAGCCUGGAAGGAAGCGAGACUCUGUUGUAAGACCGUAUUGAUUUGACAGGUAAACAAGGGGCAGCUGCAAGUAAUAAGGCAGCUGCAACCGUUUACCUAGAUAUCAUGCUGGAUUACAUAUAGGGGCCAGGGUAACGCUGUUCUUUUCCUUCGUUUGGGUUAAGCCAAGGACCGAGAAGGACGGUAUUGUGAAGUGCUGUAUUACUCUGUAAAGAGUUGAGUGUGUGUGUGUUUUUGUUUGUUUAUUGCUGUACAAUAACUGUCUGUGUUUUGAAACCACCAGACAGCUAAAGCACAUCCGGAGCUGUCGCCGUGGGCCAGCACAAACCGGAUCACCACCUCACAACUGUCACCGAAUAAAAAGUGUAUUCAUUCACCACCAGCACGACUGCACGCACCCGGGACGGGUGAACGUGUUUUUGUUUUGUUAUUCAGGACUGUAACCUGUCGUUUCAUCCCCGCGCUCUACACAUCGUUGUGUAUUGCCGGGGCUUAUUAUUUACGGUCGCUAGACCAGGAUUUAAAAUAAAUAAAAACAUUUGUCACUGGAUUACCGUUGUCUGCCUGUCACUCCUGCACCGCAUCACCGCUACACCUGUUCCCCUUACUAACCACUUUGCCACACGUGGUGUCAGAAGUGGGAUCAUGGACCGCAAUGCACUGGCGGAGCUGCUGCAGGCGCUGGAGAGCAGGCGCGACGCAGAGGAGAGAAGGAGGGAGGAGCGCUACACGGCGCUCAUUGAACGGGUAGGGCUGGCCGUUGCUGCAGCGACGACCCCUACCACAACACCGCUGAUGUCGCCCCCGAAGGCACGGGCAAUGAAGAUGUCGGCGGAGGAUGACCCGGAGGCGUAUUUGGUGGCGUUCGAGCGGCUGGCUACCGCGGCGGCUUGGCCGCGGGAGUUCUGGGCCAGCCAGUUGGGACCCUGCCUAAUUGGGGAGGCUCAGGCAGCCUACCAAGCCAUGAGCGACCAUCACGCCACCGAUUAUGACCUGGUCAAGCAGGCUAUCCUCCGCCGGCUGAACAUCACCACGGAGACCCACCGGGCGCGAUUUAGGGAGUACCGGAGAGCCCCGGAGACACGCCCCAGGGUGGUUGCAGAGCGGUUGUGCGACCACAUGGUGCAUUGGCUGACCCCCGGGAAGAAGACCGCCCAGCAGAUGGGGGAAGCCAUUGUGGUAGAGCAAUUCUGCCAUGUGGUCGGCGCCGAGACCCAGGCGUGGAUACGGCGCCACAACCCCGACACCCUGGAGGAGGCGGUCAAACUGGCCGAAGACUUCGAGGACUCCCUGACCUCUGCCCGGAUCGGGAUCCUGUCGGCCCCUGCCCUUCGGAGCAGCCGACCUCUCCCUCCCUCUCCUCCAACACCACCACCACCACCCCCCACGUUCCAGGGACCCAGACCUCCCAGAGCACCGACCCCAUUGGGCCCCCUUGCCUCCCCCCCAUGGAGACCAAGGUUGGCCCCCAGCUGGGGUAGAGGUGCUGCCCCUGCCCCGUUGCCAUACCAGCAGCGGGACAGAUUUCUGACCUAUGCCCCCUCUGUCCCUCCUAUCUGUUUUAGGUGCCACCAGCCGGGACAUCUGGCCAGGUCAUGCCCCGCUGCCAUGGAGUGUGACGUGGCCGCGUGCAAUUGGGCACCUGAAACUGGUAAGCGUGGGGAAUAUGGUCGGGAGGGGCCUUGUUUGAUUAAUGUUGUGUUAGGGAAUGUGAAAACCCACGCAUUAGUGGACACAGGGUGUGAGCAAACCUUGAUUAGGACAGCUCUCCUGGGCGGUGUGUCGUGGCGGCCACGAGGUCAGGUGGCCAUCUCCUGUAUCCAUGGAGACACGGCGGCAUACCCCACAUUAAAAGUAUAUUUAUCGGUAGGACCGAUAAAACGUCACCUUGUAGUCGGGGUGGCGGAAAGGUUGCCACACCCAGUUAUUCUGGGUCGAGACUGGCCAAAAUUCAAAGAAUUGAUGCAAACAAUGGCAGUCUCAGCCACACACGUAAACGUGGCAGAAAAAAAAAAAAAGAGGAACGAAUUGGUGAUGUGUUUCCUUUUCACACUGAAAUGUUUUCCCCUCUUUUCCGUCCUAGAAAAACAAAUAAGGAGAGACGGACCGCGAAAUGGGAGGGAGCAUUUGUGAGACAAGGCUGGGGUCUGGUGGGAGAGUGCUGCAAUGGUAACAAACGCCAGUCGAAGGGAGUGGGAACGCAGUGUGACCGAGAGAGCGAGGUUACUGGACCGACUAGAGCAGAGGUUAUUCCAGCCCCUCUCAAUGUACCGGACCCGUGGUACUCAAGCGCGGACCUAGUGUGGGGCCAACAAAACGACCCGUCACUGGUGCACGCUUGGGGGCAGGUCCGGUCCAUUGAAGGUAAGGAUGUUGACGGCGCUGGGGCGCUAGUAUAUCCACAUUUCAGUAUCAAGGGGCAAUUACUAUAUAGGGUAAACCUAGCCGCGGGCACAGGACAGCCUGUAACACAAUUGUUGGUUCCCCCGUCUUGUCGGACCGAGGUCAUGAGGCUGGCGCAUGAUAUCCCUUUUGCGGGGCACCUCGGAGCCGAGAAGACGAGGGAACGGAUAUUGGCUCGAUUCUAUUGGGUAGGUCUUCAUACUGAUGUGUCGAGAUAUGUAGCCACCUGCCCAGACUGCCAGCGAGUAGCGCCGGGUCGAGUGCGCCCCGCCCCUUUGGUCCCACUGCCGAUUAUUUCCACUCCUUUCGAGCGCAUUGCAAUGGACAUAGUCGGCCCUUUGCUACCUUCUGACUCCGGGUAUACGCACAUUUUAGUAGUGGUGGAUUAUGCAACGCGAUACCCGGAGGCAGUUCCAUUGAGGUCCACUAGUGCCGCUGCAAUAGCCACCGAGUUAGCACAGAUUAUGGCCAGAGUAGGGAUCCCCAAGGAGAUUUUGACCGAUCACGGAACUAACUUUUUGUCCAAUACGUUACAGCAGGUGUACAAAAUAUUAAAAAUACGUCCCAUCAGGACGUCCGUUUAUCAUCCACAAUCGGACGGUCUGGUGGAACGUUUUAAUCAGACCUUAAAGUCGAUGCUGAGGCGAUUUGUGACACAAGAGCAGAAACAUUGGGCAUCACUUCUCCCCUACCUCCUUUUUGCAGUGAGAGAAGUGCCGCAGAGUUCAACGGGGUUCUCCCCCUUUGAGCUCCUGUACGGCCGGCAGCCUCGCGGCAUUCUCGACCUGCUGAGAGAGGGGUGGGAGGAGCACAAAGGCUCGUCUAAAAAUGUAGUGAAGUAUGUGCUCCUACUCCGAGAUCGCCUGGAUUUGGUCGGUCGUUUGGCCCAAGACAACCUCAGAUCGGCUCAGCACCGACAAGAGCAGCAUUAUAACAAAAAUGCACGGAUUCGAACCUUUCGACCAGGGGACAAGGUAAUGCUGCUACUUCCCUCAUCAGAGUCAAAACUGUGUGCUAAAUGGCAGGGGCCGUAUGAGGUGAUUCGGGCUAUAGGGAAAGUAAAUUAUGAAAUUAGACAGCCCGAUCGCCGGAAUGAACGUGAAAUUUACCACAUUAAUUUGUUGAAGCCCUGGCAGGCAAGAGAGGUCUUAUUUAUAGCCCCAGGCAAUAUGGAGGAUGAUUUAGGUCCCUGUCCAGAGACCCCGAGCACAAGAGCGAUUUCAAUGGGGGAACAAUUAGUUCCGGAUCAGCAAAGGAGCCGGGAGUCUAGCUGUGGGAGUCGACAGGUAACCAGGUAACCAGCAUUUGAAGCAAGAUAGGUAUUUGAUCCUGCUCCUAGUAAUUUUUCCAUUAACUAUAUAGUAUUACCUGGUGUUUCUAAUUGGGGAGGAGUGUGUGAUUUUAUCCCAGGCAGUGUGCUUAUUUUGAGUACUUAAUUUGUAAUUUGUAAAUUUGAAUCAGGGUGGGUUAACUUGAUUAGAGCAGUUUGCAUUUGAAUUGGUCUCCACACAGCUCCUGCAGUUGUGUGAUCCCAUCAAAGUGUGUGAAACUAUUGUCUCCAGAGCAGUUAGCAGCUAGUUCCCUUGCUAAGUGAAGGGAGUUAUUUAAGAGUGGGCAUCUGGUAAUUAGUUCAGUCUUCAGGGAACCAGGGAGAGAGGCAGAUAGAUAAGUUCCUGCUUUUUGUAAUUGUAACUACUACAUUUGGUGACAUUGUAAGGUGGUGUUUGAAUUGGCUGAGUUUGUGUGUGAUUAGUACCAGGUGAGUGGCUAAAUUGAUUAGCAGUUGAUUUUGCUAUUUGAUUGGUUUCCACACAGUUUAGUUGGUUCUUUUGCCAAGCAGGGGUAACAACAUUUAUUCAAGCAGCUUAUUUUAGCGCCAGCACGAAGCGCCAGCCAACAGAAGAGCCUCAACAAAAGAGCCGGGAGUCUAGCUGUGGGAGUCCAGCGAGGGGAGGCCUGCGCUGAGACGCUGUUCGACUAGAUCCGAACCUACCAGCGCUCUGGAAGAAGCCAUCUACUAGUCAGCUAAAAACCUUGGAGUCACCCUGGACCCCUGCCUCUCUUAUUCCCAGCACAUCUCCACUCUGGCACGCACUUGCAGAUUCUUCCUGAGCAACAUCCGAAGAAUCCGACCCUUCCUCACCAACUAUGCUACCCAGCUCCUGGUCCAGGCCCUGGUACUCUCCCGCCUAGACUACUGCAACUCCCUCCUGGCUGGCCUCCCUGCGUCCGCCACCCGUCCGCUCCAGCUCAUCCAGAACUCUGCUGCUCGCCUGGUGUUCUCUCUACCUCGCUUCGCCCACGCUACUCCACUACUCCGCUCGCUCCACUGGCUCCCGAUCACCGCUCGCAUCCAGUUCAAGACUCUUGUACUAGCCUACAGAUGCCUUGAUCAGACUGCACCCAGCUACCUCCAGACCCUCAUCUCUCCCUACACCCCCACUCGACCUCUCCGCUCCGCCUGCACUAGAAGACUGGCUCUACCUCCGCUACGCUCCCCUGCCUCCCGAGCCCGCUCCUUCUCCACCCUUGCUCCGCAGUGGUGGAACGACCUUCCUACAGAUGUCAGGACUGCCCAGUCCCUGACCACAUUCCGGCGCCUCCUUAAGACUCACCUCUUCAAACAGCACCUGUAGAACUCCUCUGUUGUAUCCUGGGACACUAUCACCCUUCAUUUAAAUAUGCUUUAUUUUGCUCUUAUCUGCCCCCUAUUUUACUGCAUUUAAUCCUGUACCUCAGAAUAUUGUAAUCUCCCAAGUGUUUAAUCUGUAGUAUUUUGUACUUAAUCAUAUCCUGAUGUAACUAUCACUACUUAAUCAUAUCCUGAUGUAACUUUCACUAUUAUCUGCUGUAUUAUUGAAUUGUGGUUUGUCACACUUGAGAAUUAUUGUAUUUCUUGUUCUUAUUGUAUGACUUAUAUUGUAACACUUGAAUGUAUUUGUAUUUGCUUGCGAUUGUAAGUCGCCCUGGAUAAGGGCGUCUGCUAAGAAAUAAAUAAU